CAAUAGCGUAUAUUAAUGUUGUUGCAGUUAAAAGCUCGUAGUUGGAUUUCUGGUGGGAGCGGCCGGUCCGCCGCAAGGUGUGUACUUGGUUGUCUCCUGUCAUCCUUGUGGGAACUGCUCUGGCAUUAAGUUGUCGGGGUUGGGGAACACAUCGUUUACUGUGAAAAAUUAGAGUGUUUAAAGCAGGCUUAUGCCGUUGAAUAUAUUAGCAUGGAAUAAUAAGAUAGGACUUUGGAACUAUUUUGUUGGUUUGCGUUACAAAGUAAUGAUUAAUAGGGACAGUUGGGGGGUAUUCGUAUUUCGUUGUCAGAGGUGAAAUUCUUGGAUUUAUGAAAGACGAACUUCUGCGAAAGCAUUUGCCAAGGAUGUUUUCAUUAAUCAAGAACGAAAGUUGGGGGCUCGAAGAUGAUCAGAU
Molecule: ribosomal RNA, 415 nt
Filed under: uncultured eukaryote
Lineage: Eukaryota
Description: bacterial SSU rRNA
Rfam family: Eukaryotic small subunit ribosomal RNA
Source: RNAcentral